GGCGAGUGGCGAACGGGUGAGUAAUAUAUCGGAACGUACCCAAGAGUGGGGGAUAACGUAGCGAAAGUUACGCUAAUACCGCAUACGAUCUAUGGAUGAAAGUGGGGGAUUCGCAAGAACCUCAUGCUCCUGGAGCGGCCGAUAUCUGAUUAGCUAGUUGGUAGGGUAAAGGCCUACCAAGGCUACGAUCAGUAGCUGGUCUGAGAGGACGACCAGCCACACUGGAACUGAGACACGGUCCAGACUCCUACGGGAGGCAGCAGUGGGGAAUUUUGGACAAUGGGCGCAAGCCUGAUCCAGCAAUGCCGCGUGAGUGAAGAAGGCCUUCGGGUUGUAAAGCUCUUUUGUCAGGGAAGAAACGGCUCCAGCUAAUAUCUGGGGCUAAUGACGGUACCUGAAGAAUAAGCACCGGCUAACUACGUGCCAGCAGCCGCGGUAAUACGUAGGGUGCAAGCGUUAAUCGGAAUUACUGGGCGUAAAGCGUGCGCAGGCGGUUUUGUAAGUCUGUCGUGAAAGCCCCGGGCUCAACCUGGGAAUUGCGAUGGAGA
This 548-nucleotide ribosomal RNA is filed under the name uncultured Massilia sp. RNAcentral's name for it is "bacterial SSU rRNA". It matches the Rfam family "Bacterial small subunit ribosomal RNA", at positions 90 to 632 of the family's 1533-position model. Lineage: Bacteria; Pseudomonadati; Pseudomonadota; Betaproteobacteria; Burkholderiales; Oxalobacteraceae. The record is from RNAcentral.